UAAAUUUCAUGUAUGUAUAAAUACAUACACACUUGUGUAUAUAGAAAUAUAUUUGUAGAAAAUAUAUAUAUACACAAGUAAAUGUG
Molecule: microRNA precursor, 86 nt
Filed under: Loxodonta africana (African savanna elephant)
Lineage: Eukaryota; Metazoa; Chordata; Mammalia; Proboscidea; Elephantidae
Description: miRNA (ENSLAFG00000033116.1)
Source: RNAcentral